GACGAACGCUGGCGGCGUGCUUAACACAUGCAAGUCGAACGGAAAGGCCCUGCUUUUGUGGGGUGCUCGAGUGGCGAACGGGUGAGUAACACGUGAGUAACCUGCCCUUGACUUUGGGAUAACUUCAGGAAACUGGGGCUAAUACCGGAUAGGAGCUCCUGCUGCAUGGUGGGGGUUGGAAAGUUUCGGCGGUUGGGGAUGGACUCGCGGCUUAUCAGCUUGUUGGUGGGGCAGUGGCUUACCAAGGCUUUGACGGGUAGCCGGCCUGGGGGGGUGACCGGCCAAAUGGGACAUGAGAUACGGCCCAGACCCCUAGGGGGGGGAGCAGUGGGGAAUUUGGCAAAAGGGGGGGAAGCCUGAGGCAGAAACCCCGGGGGGGGGAUGACGGCCUUCGGGUUGUAAACCGCUUUCGCCUGUGACGAAGGGUGAGUGACGGUAAUGGGAAAAGAAGCCCCGGCUAACUACGU
This 467-nucleotide ribosomal RNA is filed under the name uncultured bacterium. RNAcentral describes it as "partial 16S ribosomal RNA". It matches the Rfam family "Bacterial small subunit ribosomal RNA", at positions 28 to 506 of the family's 1533-position model. The record is from RNAcentral.